RNAcentral lists this ribosomal RNA (593 nucleotides) under Pseudomonas sp. Its description in RNAcentral is "bacterial SSU rRNA". It matches the Rfam family "Bacterial small subunit ribosomal RNA", at positions 82 to 671 of the family's 1533-position model. Lineage: Bacteria; Pseudomonadati; Pseudomonadota; Gammaproteobacteria; Pseudomonadales; Pseudomonadaceae. The record is from RNAcentral.
GCUCCUGAAUUCAGCGGCGGACGGGUGAGUAAUGCCUAGGAAUCUGCCUGGUAGUGGGGGACAACGUUUCGAAAGGAACGCUAAUACCGCAUACGUCCUACGGGAGAAAGCAGGGGACCUUCGGGCCUUGCGCUAUCAGAUGAGCCUAGGUCGGAUUAGCUAGUUGGUGAGGUAAUGGCUCACCAAGGCGACGAUCCGUAACUGGUCUGAGAGGAUGAUCAGUCACACUGGAACUGAGACACGGUCCAGACUCCUACGGGAGGCAGCAGUGGGGAAUAUUGGACAAUGGGCGAAAGCCUGAUCCAGCCAUGCCGCGUGUGUGAAGAAGGUCUUCGGAUUGUAAAGCACUUUAAGUUGGGAGGAAGGGCAGUAAAUUAAUACUUUGCUGUUUUGACGUUACCGACAGAAUAAGCACCGGCUAACUCUGUGCCAGCAGCCGCGGUAAUACAGAGGGUGCAAGCGUUAAUCGGAAUUACUGGGCGUAAAGCGCGCGUAGGUGGUUCGUUAAGUUGGAUGUGAAAGCCCCGGGCUCAACCUGGGAACUGCAUUCAAAACUGACGAGCUAGAGUAUGGUAGAGGGUGGUGGAAUUUCC